This 357-nucleotide long non-coding RNA is filed under the name Manihot esculenta (cassava). RNAcentral describes it as "long non-coding RNA (MESC_LNC011402)". Lineage: Eukaryota; Viridiplantae; Streptophyta; Magnoliopsida; Malpighiales; Euphorbiaceae. The record is from RNAcentral.
CUUUCCAACAAGGUAUGGUUCAUGCAAAUCUGAUCAUCCUAGCUUAAGUUAUGAAUUUUUCUUUACAAGCUGCUCAAUAAGGUCUUAAUCAGUCCAGUAUUGGUACUUGUUUAUAGUAUCACAAAACUUAUCAGAUUCAUGCAUUUCCAUACAAAUUCAAGCUUAAGUGUCUUCCAAAAAGUUUUAGGUAUACUUCUUAAGAUUCAUUUGGCACUGGUCUUAACAAAUUUCACUGAGUAUGUAAUUAGUUAUGGUAUAAUCAAUAGACUCUGUUCCGGAUGCACUACCACUGUGUCCAGUUUAGGUUCACUUGCAGUUUUCAUCAUUUUAACUACAGAUUCAGAAUUUUGUCAAUUC